RNAcentral lists this ribosomal RNA (513 nucleotides) under Stenopogon martini. RNAcentral's name for it is "partial 16S ribosomal RNA". It matches the Rfam family "Bacterial large subunit ribosomal RNA", at positions 1819 to 2600 of the family's 2925-position model. Lineage: Eukaryota; Metazoa; Arthropoda; Insecta; Diptera; Asilidae. The record is from RNAcentral.
GUCCUUUAGAUAUUUAAUUUAAGGUCUGACCUGCCCACUGAUUUAAUUUAAAGGCCGCAGUAUUUUAACUGUGCAAAGGUAGCAUAAUCAUUAGUCUUUUAAUUGAAGGCUUGUAUGAAUGGUUGGACGAGGCAUAAGCUGUUUCAUUAAAAUUUUUGUAGAAUUUUAUUUUUUAGUCAAAAAGCUAAAAUGACUUUGAAAGACGAGAAGACCCUAUAGAUCUUUAUAAUUAUUAGGUUAUAUUUAUUAAGAUUUCUUUAUUUAUUAUCUAAAAUAUUAUUUUGUUGGGGUGACAUUAAGAUUUAAAUAACUCUUAUUAUCAUGAUACAUUAAUUUAUGAAAUUUUGAUCCUCUAUUAGUGAUUAUAAAAUUAAGUUACCUUAGGGAUAACAGCGUAAUUUUUUUAGAGAGUUCAUAUCGAUAAAAAAGAUUGCGACCUCGAUGUUGGAUUAAGAGAUAGGGCUGGGCGCAGCAGUUCAGUUUUUAAGUCUGUUCGACUUUUAAUUUCUUACA